Molecule: long non-coding RNA, 1594 nt
Filed under: Monodelphis domestica (gray short-tailed opossum)
Lineage: Eukaryota; Metazoa; Chordata; Mammalia; Didelphimorphia; Didelphidae
Description: lncRNA (ENSMODG00000039487.1)
Source: RNAcentral
GAUUCAAGGACCUGUUAUGGGCUUAUUCUUGCUUACUCAGAAUUUUUAAUAUAUACAUGUGCACACACACGUGUGCGUGUGUGUGUGUAUACACAUAGAUUUUUUUCCAAAAAAAUUUCAUUUAAUUUUUUUUUCUAUUUGGGUUUUUUUUUUAUGUUUUUGGUUUUUCUUUUGAUAAUUGAUUCAUAUACCCCAUAACUCAGGCAUGUAUCCUGGGUUGAUCUGGGUGUUGGUCAACACCCUUCUCAGGAGGAUUGUAUAAAUUUAGUAAAAUCCAAGACUAAAAUUUUUUUGAGAGAAAUUUCAGGAAAAGAAGCUCACUAAAUCCCUGAAUCAAGGAAGUGAACUCUUUUAAAGAAGGCACAAUAAAGAAGGCUGUGGAGACCAUACACUGCAUCAGAAGAUCCAUAAUGAACUUUGGGGUGUAGUGAAUCAAACUGAAGGGGGUUGAACACAUUUAUUUUGAAUGUAAACGCUUAUGCCAAAGGGGAUUGCCCCCAAUUGGCUUUUUGUCAGUGUGCCUACCAAUCAUUGGUUUUGCUCUCUUCCUCUUUUAUUUACCCCUGAUCUCCAACUAUUGUAAUUUCCCCUUAGAAAAUGUCGUCUUGUAUGUACCUUUAGCCAAAAGAUCUUUAGAGGUAUAAGCUAGAUAUUUGAAUUGAUUCAUUGGGGAGACUAGGCAUAUAAAUCUGGGAGAUUUCAACAUGCUCACCUUCCAACAGAAUUGGGGGGGGGGGCUUGUGAAAGGGAAUUUUUAAUCCCUUUGUCUAUUUUAAGUUAAUCAAGAACUUAAAGUAUUCCUAUUUAGCACUUAGUAAGUCACUAACAAAGAAAGUUCACACCCUAACAGGCCACAAGCACUGUCCCCCCCCACCCCUGCAGUGCUAGGCAAAUUGGAGGGCUGUGAUUGAGUGAUCAUUCUUGAGAUGUGGAGAGGAGAGCUGAUGGGUGGAGAAAACUAUAUAAAGAGGAGUCUGAGAGAGAUGCACUCUCUUCAUUUCUUGAGCUCUUCCUUCUUGGCAACCUUUAUCCUCAGGAGCCUGAGCUCUGGUGCAGUUCUUUGCAGUCUUGGCCUCAUGUGUGCUGCAGAUUCUCAGCAGUAUUUCAGCAUCUUUAGCUCUUCAUAUUUCGGCUUCCUGAUCUGGACUUUGGAUUCUGAGUUGGCUGUUAAACACUUACAAGCACAUCCCUUGGUCUAAGAUCACCCAGGACUCCUGACUCCCAAUCCAUUUCUACUAUGCCAGUAUCACCUUCAUCCUCAUGAAGCUAGCUGGUACAGUAGAGUGCUGCACCUGGAGCAAGUUCAAAUCCAGCCUCAGAUGCUUAUUUACAUGAUCCUAGGUAAGUAACUUGGUCUGUCUCCCUUAAUUUCCUCAACUGUAAAAUGGGGGAGGAUAAUGGCACCUACCUCUCAGAGUUGUGAGGAUCAAAAGAGAUCAAACUUUUAAAGUACUUAGCAUAGUGGCUGGCACAUUGUAGAGGCUAUAUAAAUGCUUGUCUCCUUCUUUCCUGUUCAUUUGUUAACCCCCAACUCUAUGUGUGCUACUUUAAUAAGUUAAAUAAAUUCUAUUCUGUCCUUAUAGAGUUUAUGUUU